Non-coding RNA from Anolis carolinensis (green anole), 1556 nucleotides. The record is from the annotation of a RefSeq genome assembly. NCBI's taxonomy places the organism in Eukaryota, Metazoa, Chordata, Lepidosauria, Squamata, Anolidae.
CCCAUCUCAGCUCAGAGACUGCUCUGAUCUUCUUGCUGAGGCCUUCCAACAGCAAAAGACUCCUCCUGCCCCUCUGUGCAGGCAGGACAUCCUGUCUCCUCCUCCACCAACCACAACACCUGCAGCCUUCUUGCAAACCCUUCACAGGAAAGGAAAACAUUUCCUCUUUCUUUCAGUUGCUAUUUCAGCGUCAGGUGAAGGCCAUGGCUACCGCACUUAUUUGUUUCUGCUACAGAGAAUGUAUACCUGGAUCUCUCUUCUACUUUUUUGUCAUCUUGGGUGCUUUACCAGGUAGCGACUCUGCUGUUACAGUGACCCAAGAACCUCUAUUGACCAGCCUUUUGCAACAGGAGAAGCUUACAAUCAAAUGUUCUGUAAAUAGCCAAAAUUACAAUUUCCUCUGGUAUCGCCAGUUGCCUGGGAAGAUAGAGCUACAAGUGCUUGGGAACCUCUACAGUUAUGAAAGCAAACUUGCCGAUGUUGACUCCACUCUUGACGCCCGGCUGAGUGGGGAAUGGCUGGAUAGUGGCAAGGAAAAAAUGAACCUACAUCUCCAAAGCCUUCAGCCUGGUGACACGGGCCUGUAUCUGUGUGCUGCAAAGGACACAGUGAGAGAAGCAGGAACUGGGGCUGGCACAAAACGGAGUGCAGAGAACAGACACCCCAUGUGUGACAGAAUAUAAUAAUAAUAAUAAUAAUAAUAAUAAUAAUAAUAAUAAUAAUAAUAAUAAUAAUAAUACUUUAUUUAUAUACUGCCCUAUCUCCCAGAUGGGACUCAGGGCGGUUUACAGUCAUAAAAGCAAACACAAACAUUACAUAACAACAUAAUACAUAUUAUUAAACAAAGUAAAAUAAUACAAUUAUAACAAUAAAUCACACUUACAUGACCAGAUCAAGGGGAUGGGAACCAUAAAACCAAUAUAUUAAAAUGUAUCAUUUUAGGCUAGGGAAAUCUUGUGCAAUAUAUUCAGGCCCAGAAAUCGGUGGUAGUCCAAUGUAAUUACUCAAAAACCUGCCAACACCACCAGGUCUUCAGUUCCUUACGGAAAUUGGAGAAUGUAGGGGAUUGCCUGAUCUCUUUUGGCAAUGCAUUCCAGAGCCGAGGGGCCACUGCCGAGAAGGCUCGUUCCCUCGUCCCCACCAGCCGCACUUGAGACGGUGGUGGGAGCGCGAGAAGAGCCUCCCCGGAAGAUCUCAAGGUCCGCACUGGCUCAGAGGAGGAGAUGCGAUCACGGAGAUAGGUAGGGCCCGAGCCGUAUAAGACAUAUUUACCAGAAGACAUAUUUACCAAUGUCACAAUCAUGCACCAUCUUCCACUUCACUAGUUAGGUACACUGAAGCUACCAUUGUAUGUUCUAGUCAUCUCAGUAAAAAAUAGCUUCACCAUAAAAGUACUACCCAGAUGCUGGCACAGGGUAAUUGAGGAUGGUUUGCUACAAUCUUGCCCCAGUCACACUAUCCCUUCUGUUUCCAAAACCCACAGCAUCUCUGUCAAUAUACAGACUAGUGGGGCACCCACCAAAUAUAGCAACAACAUUGUCACCCUACUAGAUCUC